RNAcentral lists this long non-coding RNA (881 nucleotides) under Sinocyclocheilus anshuiensis. RNAcentral describes it as "lncRNA (ENSSANG00000051206.1)". Lineage: Eukaryota; Metazoa; Chordata; Actinopteri; Cypriniformes; Cyprinidae. The record is from RNAcentral.
CCGAGGCCAGUCCCAUUUUUGUAACCGAUUGCUUGACUGAAAUAAAUCGUAAAGAUGUGACGUUCAGGAAGCCUUAUCACAGUUACCGCGACACGAGUUCAAUCGAAUCAAGUUCACUGAGCAUUUGAGUCGUGCGCAGAAUACAAAACAAAACAAAACAAAACGGAAGUUCCUGUGGACGACAGUGACUGGAUGUUAAACCAUCGUUACACACAAGCGCCGUCUUUCCUGCACCUGUUCCCGCUCACCCUGCAGCCAGUCACACCAGUCUUCAUUAGCGCAGCUGCUGCCGUCCCUCAGCCCUCAAGUCAGGAAGUCUGAUUAGAUACAGAAUGUCACCUUGCCCAUAUCAAGUGCUGGCGACCGGAAUAAUACACAUGACGCUGUUGCUGAUUUACAUCAGUGAACUGCCGUUUCUAUGGAAACAAAGAGUGCGAGGCCGGCCUGGGUUUGAUGGAGUGCUGUCAGACAGCGAGGAGGAGGUCGGAUCGUGUGUGCGUGUGUGUGUGUGUGUGGCCCAGAGGGAUCCUGAGCUCUAUAGAAGCGGUAAAGCUCCAGAAGAAGCUGUGCUGCAUUCACUCGGUUCUCCUUCAGUGCCUCCCUCUCGCUCACAACCUCCACGGUGGGUUUCAGUUUUAUUCAGGGGUCACAGAAUCUGAGAAUCUUCCGGAAAACAGCUGAACCCAUAGUAAAUAUCUGAAAUGUUUCUCCUAGACAGCUUUCAGAGUAAGCAGAGAUGUUUCUCCUGAGAAAAAUAGCUCUAGAAAUCUCAUGUCUCAUUGAUAGUAUGAAAGGAGUUCUCAAAUUGUGCUCAGAUUGUCUCAAUAAUUAUCAAAUUAUCUGCACUGUGCUGUCAACAUUUUUUCCUUGUAAACUCUUUG